UUCAGCUGUGGAUUACCCCGUAUCAACCCAAGACGGGUUAUUCACUGAAGCUAAGCAGGGCUGAGCCUGGUCAGUACAUGGAUGGGAGACCGCAUGGGAAAACUAGGUUGGUGUUGGAA
Ribosomal RNA from Danio rerio (zebrafish), 119 nucleotides. NCBI's taxonomy places the organism in Eukaryota, Metazoa, Chordata, Actinopteri, Cypriniformes, Danionidae. The record is from Ensembl.